This 503-nucleotide ribosomal RNA is filed under the name uncultured bacterium. RNAcentral describes it as "partial 16S ribosomal RNA". It matches the Rfam family "Bacterial small subunit ribosomal RNA", at positions 30 to 523 of the family's 1533-position model. The record is from RNAcentral.
AUUGAGCGCUGGCGGCAGGCUUAACACAUGCAAGUCGAGCGGGGUGAUGGUGCUUGCACUAUCACUUAGCGGCGGACGGGUGAGUAAUGCUUAGGAAUCUGCCUAUUAGUGGGGGACAACAUCUCGAAAGGGAUGCUAAUACCGCAUACGUCCUACGGGAGAAAGCAGGGGAUCACUUGUGACCUUGCGCUAAUAGAUGAGCCUAAGUCGGAUUAGCUAGUUGGUGGGGUAAAGGCCUACCAAGGCGACGAUCUGUAGCGGGUCUGAGAGGAUGAUCCGACACACUGGGACUGAGACACGGCCCAGACUCCUACGGGAGGCAGCAGUGGGGAAUAUUGGACAAUGGGGGGAACCCUGAUCCAGCCAUGCCGCGUGUGUGAAGAAGGCCUUAUGGUUGUAAGGCACUUUAAGCGAGGAGGAGGCUCUUUUGGUUAAUACCCAAGAUGAGUGGACGUUACUCGCAGAAUAAGCACCGGCUAACUCUGUGCCAGCCGCCGCGGUAA